Molecule: ribosomal RNA, 250 nt
Filed under: uncultured Staphylococcus sp.
Lineage: Bacteria; Bacillati; Bacillota; Bacilli; Caryophanales; Staphylococcaceae
Description: partial 16S ribosomal RNA
Rfam family: Bacterial small subunit ribosomal RNA
Source: RNAcentral
CGUUAGCGGCGGACUGGUGAGUAACACGUGGGUAACCUACCUAUAAGACUGGGAUAACUUCGGGAAACCGGAGCUAAUACCGGAUAAUAUUUCGAACCGCAUGGUUCGAUAGUGAAAGAUGGUUUUGCUAUCACUUAUAGAUGGACCCGCGCCGUAUUAGCUAGUUGGUAAGGUAACGGCUUACCAAGGCGACGAUACGUAGCCGACCUGAGAGGGUGAUCGGCCACACUUGAACUGAGACAUGGUCCAG